This 924-nucleotide ribosomal RNA is filed under the name uncultured bacterium. RNAcentral's name for it is "bacterial SSU rRNA". It matches the Rfam family "Bacterial small subunit ribosomal RNA", at positions 8 to 947 of the family's 1533-position model. The record is from RNAcentral.
AGAGUUUGAUCAUGGCUCAGGACGAACGCUGGCGGCGUGCUUAACACAUGCAAGUCGAGCGAUGAAACACCUUCGGGUGUGAAUUAGCGGCGAACGGGUGAGGAACACGUGAAGAAUCUGCCUUCAACUCUGGGAUAACUCCGGGAAACCGGGGCUAAUACCGGAUAUGAGCCUUGAUCGCAUGAUCGGGGCUGGAAAGUUUUUCGGUUGAAGAUGACUUCGCGGCCUAUCAGCUUGUUGGUGAGGUAAUGGCUCACCAAGGCGACGACGGGUAGCCGGCCUGAGAGGGCGACCGGCCACACUGGGACUGAGACACGGCCCAGACUCCUACGGGAGGCAGCAGUGGGGAAUAUUGGGCAACGGAGGAAACUCUGACCCAGCGACGCCGCGUGAGGGAUGAAGGCCUUCGGGUUGUAAACCUCUUUCAGUAGGGAAGAAGCGAAAGUGACGGUACCUACAGAAGAAGCACCGGCUAACUAUGUGCCAGCAGCCGCGGUAAUACAUAGGGUGCAAGCGUUGUCCGGAAUUAUUGGGCGUAAAGAGCUCGUAGGUGGUUCGAUACGUCGGAUGUGAAAAUCAGGGGCUCAACCCCUGACCUGCAUCCGAUACGGUCGAGCUGGAGUUUGGUAGGGGAGACUGGAAUUCCUGGUGUAGCGGUGGAAUGCGCAGAUAUCAGGAGGAACACCGAUGGCGAAGGCAGGUCUCUUGGCCAAUACUGACACUGAGGAGCGAAAGCGUGGGGAGCGAACAGGAUUAGAUACCCUGGUAGUCCACGCCGUAAACGGUGGGCGCUAGUUGUGCGAACCUUCCACGGUUUGUGCGACGCAGCUAACGCAUUAAGCGCCCCGCCUGGGGAGUACGAUCGCAAGAUUAAAACUCAAAGGAAUUGACGGGGCCCCGCACAAGCAGCGGAGCAUGCGGCUU